UACAGAGGUGGCAAGCGUUGUUCGGAAUUACUGGGCGUAAAGGGCGCGUAGGCGGCCUACUAAGUCAGACGUGAAAUCCCCCGGCUUAACCUGGGAACUGCGUCUGAUACUGCCAGGCUCGAGAGCGGUAGGGGAGACUGGAACUCCUGGUGGAGCGGUGAAAUGCGUAGAUAUCAGGAGGAACACCGGUGGUGAAAACGAGUCUCUGGUCCGCUUCUGACGCUCAGGUGCGAAAGCUAGGGGAGCAAACGGG
Molecule: ribosomal RNA, 253 nt
Filed under: uncultured bacterium
Lineage: Bacteria
Description: partial 16S ribosomal RNA
Rfam family: Bacterial small subunit ribosomal RNA
Source: RNAcentral